UUUGGUCAAAUUUUUGAACAUCCGAUAUUGCCCUUGAUAUUUCCCACGAUUUACAGAGUAACCGAAAGGGGACUGACGGUUCUGGCUUUUGCCGCACAGAGAAAACUACUUCUGUCUUUUAAUUCGAGGCAGAGGAAAGGGUUUAGAGCGGUAGGGUUGAAUAAUUCUGGGUCUUCGGUAUUGGAGAUUGAUGAUUAGGGUUCUUCUUGAUGGGAGAGAUUAUUAGGUGAAAGAGUGAUUGAGGAGCAAGAAAAUGCGAAAACCUUUCAAGGAUUCGCUUAAGGCGCUUGAAGCUGAUAUUCAGUUUGCCAAUACUUCGUAACUCUUUUAAUCUUUUCUUUUGCUCAAUCUUCAUCCAUAGUUCAUUUCUGUCUGUUGAUUACAUGGAAUUAUUCCGGGUCAUACCAAAGUUCGCUUAUUUGUCAUGAUUUUGAUGGAAAUUGGUAAUCUUGGGAAUUUGAUCUGUCUAGUUUUGCUUUCGUAAUUUUAGUUUGCUGUAUCUUUCAUGCAAGAUUAGCUUUAUAGUUUGUACAGGUUGAACAUCUGGGUAAUUGUGUAGAUGAUUCUGCUCUAAACCCACAAUUCACAAUUGCUUAUGAAUUGUAUGCUGAAUUCUAUAAAGGAGUGAAAAGUUGAUUUGUGCUGAUAGAAGAGAGUAUUAGAAGGGUUUUGAGGAAUUGAGCUUACUUCAGCCACAGACAAACAUGAUAAGAUUUUGUAUUAGAAUUCAUAUCAUAUUACAAUCUCACUAAAAGUAUCCUAUUUCAAUUACAAUAUGAAACAGAAAUCUAUUCAGAAGCCAAAAUCAGAACAGUCAUCUGCAGUCCGAUGUGUGGCCGUCCAUUUGUUGUAUAUAUGUUGAUUCAUGACUUGGUAAUUACUCAAGAAGUGUGAUAACUGGGGUAAGGUGAACAUAUAUAUAAAAUCAGAAAGCUAGCUUACUAAUUAUGUUUUUGUUUUUCAUGUUUGUUAGAUUUGAAAAGUUUAGACUUCAACGAUGCUCCAUUUUACCAGGUACCAGCUCUGGAGCACAAUGUAAAGAUACAAAAAUGUACUAGCAGUGGCUCUUUAUGUGCGAAACUGGAAUGUGCUAACAGCAGCCAUUCAAUUGCUGAUUAAGGCUGAUUUAUGCGGGCAAGCAGCUUGGAGAUGACAAAACUGCUAAAGACUACAACAUUGAGGGUGGCUCUGUCCUUCAUUUAGUGCUUACACUACGUGGUGGUAGUCUAUAAAUUGUAUCGUAGUAUUGUAUCUAUUGAUGCUCAGGCAAACUCUUUUGUGAAGGCUUUAUCGAGUCUUCAUACUCCAAAACAUUUGAGUUGCAUGACAAGUGGGUUACUUUGGACAUAAGUAUUGGUGUUACAUAUUGCACUUUACCUUUCUGCUCUAUUAUGUUCGCUGUAAUGCUCUGGUGCUUUUACUUUAUACAAGCUUAGCUUCACUUGGGCAACAAAUUUUUAUCAAUCCUGAUUACAAUUGUUUUCUG
Rosa chinensis is the source of this 1486-nucleotide long non-coding RNA. RefSeq lists it as uncharacterized. The transcript is spliced from 4 exons. NCBI's taxonomy places the organism in Eukaryota, Viridiplantae, Streptophyta, Magnoliopsida, Rosales, Rosaceae. The record is from RefSeq and is a predicted model, not a curated record.